RNAcentral lists this long non-coding RNA (2476 nucleotides) under Homo sapiens (human). RNAcentral describes it as "HSALNT0028139". The record is from RNAcentral. Lineage: Eukaryota; Metazoa; Chordata; Mammalia; Primates; Hominidae.
CCCCUCCCGCCCCCAAACUGCAGAUUUUUAAGUUGUGCAGACGUGGAACAAUUCCUCGGAGCCAGCUGCUCCAAGCUAAGGCGCCCAGUGUUCCCUGGGUUCCUACCCGCAGCAUACGCCCUGCCAGCUGCCCCCAAGCCAGCACCCGCUGACCACUCACCUCAGGCAAGCACCUAGGAAGACGAUGCAGAUUCAAGCUCCAGACCUUGAGCCAAGCGCUGGGGAGGGAAUGGGGGCAAAGAGAUGGUGGAAAACACUUUCCUGAACUUACUGAAUACCCUAUGUUAUGUGUGGGUUUUCUAAUUGUUCUUUGCUUAAUGAAAAACCCACGUUGGAAAUCAGAAAAAGGCAGUAAUCCUCACCGUAUCUUGUGGGCUUCAAAGAGGAGGUUUUCCCCUUAAAGGGAGUUUUGGUCCAGAGGAGAGGCUAACAGCAGGCAGGAAGGGCAGAGGAAAAGAUAAAGCCUAGGGUGGUCUUCCCCCUGAGGCCUGGAGCCCACCAAGCUCCAACAGUUUCAUUUGGCUUCUGGGAAGCAAAGUACAGAUGCAUGUGUCUGCAGAGCACUGUUCUGAGCCAUUUGUCCCUAAUUCCAUGGUUCUUUGGUUCCUCCAAUCUUGUCUCCUCUCCUGUGGAAGAGGAUCCAAAGCAUUGGUCCACACUGCUAUUUACAAGUGGCUGAAGAAGGUAACUUUCUUACAUAGUUCAUCUUUAGCAUAAGCUCUAAGAUUGUUCUAAAAAUAUAUUUACAUUUUAUCAACACCUUAGAAGAAUGCUUCCAGAUCUCUCCCAGCAGUUACCUAUUUAAUCAUUUUAAAAUCACUAAGUUUAUCCAAAAAGUCCAGCAUGGUUUACUUGAGAAGGAAAUAUGUUCAGAAUCUCUAAGCACUGCAGAAGGCACCUGCAGUGCAGAAGAGUUGGCAGUGAGGUCUUUCUCCUGGGGUCUGGGCGGAACAUGUGAGCAGUCGGGAAGGCACACACAGUGGGAGCCAGUAAGGGCCCCUGUGCAUCUGCAGGAGCUGAGGACAGAAGGGGUGGGCCUCCACGGUGGGCAUGUAGGAGUGGGCACAGAGAAGGGCCACAGAUCUGAGACAGAGACAGACAGGACUUCUUACCCUGCUGAGCCCUGCAGGGAGCCACUUCGUCUUUCAGCCCUGAUUUUGUCAUCUGUAAGGAAAUUUCCUCUCUCCCAGGGUAAUCAUGUGAAGCCAAUGAAAUAAUAAAAAGGACCACAUCGGAUGACCCCUGAGGCAGGUCUGCUCCCCAAAAGUUUACUCUUGAAUGUUGACCAAGGUUGAGCUAGGCAAAGUGGUAAAUUCACACACACGGUAUGUAGCCCCUUCCCCAACCCCAGUCUCCAUUACCGGGGGCAUGCUGUGAACUAACUGCCUCCUUUUCCCCACACACCCACUUCCUGCCCAGUCUUUAUGCCUCCCGAUAUGACAUCCCGUUCCCUCUUAAUUAACUGUGCCUAUAGAGAAACAUCUAGAUAAACCAUGCAUUUAAUCUGUGAGGGGUCAAUCAUUUAAUCAUCGUUGACAAUAAUGCUCACUCCUCUGUGGUUUCAGAGGACUCCUGGAGUGGAUGGAGACACAUGCCACUAAUGUGGGAUGCAUUUCAGUCUGUCUUCCAGGCCUCGUUUGGAGGUCUCCCUCUCUUACCCACCUAUCACACAUCCAUGUCUUCCCUUCCCUCCCCAGAGCCAAACCUGUCCCCGACUUUUUAUUCUCACUAAAGUUCAAAUGACAGAAAUCAGCUAGAUUAGUACUUGCCUUAGUCCUGAAGGAAAGGGAAGUGCUCAUUAGCUUCUUAAAUUGGAACAGGUCUGCAGGUGAAAAUGAAGAUGUGCUCAUCUCUGGCAGGAAGGUUGGGAGUGAGGGGUAUAGUCAUAAUGAGCAGCGUUUAUUUGGUGUGUGCCUCUCACUUGCCACUUUCUACCCAGCUGCCUGAAUAUCACUCCAGUUAGUCUGAGCACAUGAAACACCUGCAACUCCCCAGACCCACCAUGCUUUUUCUUGACUCUCUGAAUGCACAGCAGUGCCUCCUCAGCUAAGAACACAGUUCCCCAUCACCAAGCUUUGCUUUGCCCAACAGACCCCUUCUCCCUUAGGAUGAGAUUCAGUGGAUAAUCACAUCAUAAUCACGACCCUCUGGGAAGCCGCCUCUCUCAUCCUGGGUUGUGUGUUGUGUGUUUCCUUUCCACACUCCCUCAGCAGCCUUUGCCUCCCACUUUCAUAGAAUCUACCAUAUGGGAUUUUAACUGUUUGUCUUCCACUAGACAAUAAGCUCCUUGAAGACUGAAUUUCCAGGAACUUCUGUUGGAUCUGCAUGUUUGUGAAGUGAAUUACUGAAGGCUGCCCAGUUUCAUCUGAUCCUAGUCAAAACCUAAAUCCCUUAUUUCUACGCUACCUUUUGCCAGCACCUGAAAAUGAUGCCAGGUUUCUGGAAUCCACGGCAGCAAUGGGUGAUAAGUCUCCAG